GACGAACGCUGGCGGCGUGCUUAACACAUGCAAGUCGAACGGAAAGGCCCUGCUUUUGUGGGGUGCUCGAGUGGCGAACGGGUGAGUAACACGUGAGUAACCUGCCCUUGACUUUGGGAUAACUUCAGGAAACUGGGGCUAAUACCGGAUAGGAGCUCCUGCUGCAUGGUGGGGGUUGGAAAGUUUCGGCGGUUGGGGAUGGACUCGCGGCUUAUCAGCUUGUUGGUGGGGUAGUGGCUUACCAAGGCUUUGACGGGUAGCCGGCCUGAGAGGGUGACCGGCCACAUUGGGAUUGAGAUACGGCCCAGACUCCUACGGUAGGGAGCUGUGGGGAAUAUUGCACAAUGGGCGGAAGCCUGAUGCAACAACGCCGCGUGCGGGAUGACGGCCUUCGGGUUGUAAACCGCUUUCUCCUGUGACGAAGCGUGAGUGACGGUAAUUGGUAAAGAAGCACCGGCUAACUACGUG
This 468-nucleotide ribosomal RNA is filed under the name uncultured bacterium. Its description in RNAcentral is "partial 16S ribosomal RNA". It matches the Rfam family "Bacterial small subunit ribosomal RNA", at positions 28 to 507 of the family's 1533-position model. The record is from RNAcentral.